UACAGAGGUCCCGAGCGUUGUUCGGAUUCAUUGGGCGUAAAGGGUGCGUAGGCGGCUGGGUAAGUUUGAUGUGAAAUCCUGGGGCUCAACCCUGGAACUGCAUUGAAUACUGCUCGGCUAGAGUACUGGAGAGGAAACUGGAAUUCACGGUGUAGCAGUGAAAUGCGUAGAGAUCGUGAGGAAGACCAGUGGCGAAGGCGAGUUUCUGGACAGUUACUGACGCUGAGGCACGAAGGCCAGGGGAGCAAACGGG
This 253-nucleotide ribosomal RNA is filed under the name uncultured bacterium. RNAcentral describes it as "partial 16S ribosomal RNA". It matches the Rfam family "Bacterial small subunit ribosomal RNA", at positions 524 to 776 of the family's 1533-position model. The record is from RNAcentral.